CAUCCCGGCUGAGAGACUGAGAAAGCCGAGCGGAGCCGAGCAAACACCGGGCACCAGCGCCAGGCCAUCCUACUCCCCCGGGACACGCCCCCGCUCCAAAGGGCACCGCCUGCUCCUGCCACCAGGUGCUUAGGAGGUCUCCAAAGAUGCCUUCUUCAGCCUUCAUCAUGGGAGACAAACCUAGAACACCGCACAUGAACUCGUGGCCCCCACACAGAGGCAACAGCCCCUGUGCUUUGUGGAGCUUCAGUCCUGGGCUUUACUAAGCAGCUCUUUUCAGGGAAACAGGAGCAUCACCCCCCCCCCAGAGACUCCUGGAUUCAUGGAUGGCUGCCCAGGGGAGCACUCUUGUGAAUGAAGUGAUGAAGGCCUGGAGGGGACAAGAAGAUACCAACAGCUGCACCGGGCUGGCAGUGGUGAGUGCUGAGGCCACUGGACAGGGAGAGAGUGGAAGCAGCUGAUGUAUGCUCUGUGCCCUAACAGGAACAGCAGCCAGAGACCCUUCCACCACAGGAGGCGAACCCCAAGCUGAGGACUGCGCUGGUCCACGUAUUUUAUACCAAGAUGAGUUUACUAACUCUUCCUGUUGUUGAUUUUAUUUUGUUUUAGACAGAGCCCAUGUAUCCCUGGAUGGACUGAUAGUCUCUCUGUGCUAGAGGCUGGCCUUAAACUUGUUGCAAUCCUCCUGCCUCAGCUGCUCAAGCAUUGUAUUUAUAGGCAUAUAUCACCACAGCCAUUUUUCAUUCUUCUAUCAUUUUUUCCGGACUGCCUUCAUCUGGUUUGGUUUUAGGUCUGGAAGGUAUUCCCUUCUGGAUUCUGCAACUUGUGUAGCUCUGCGUUUCUUUAAAAGCCUAGGAUGCCUCACUGAA
This is a long non-coding RNA of Mesocricetus auratus (golden hamster), 869 nucleotides long. RefSeq lists it as uncharacterized. The transcript has 3 exons. Lineage: Eukaryota; Metazoa; Chordata; Mammalia; Rodentia; Cricetidae. The record is from RefSeq and is a predicted model, not a curated record.